Molecule: ribosomal RNA, 253 nt
Filed under: uncultured bacterium
Lineage: Bacteria
Description: partial 16S ribosomal RNA
Rfam family: Bacterial small subunit ribosomal RNA
Source: RNAcentral
UACAGAGGUCCCGAGCGUUGUUCGGAUUCACUGGGCGUAAAGGGUGCGUAGGUGGCUUGGAAAGUUUGAUGUGAAAGCUCAGGGCUUAACCCUGAAAUGGCAUUGAAUACUGCUGAGCUGGAGGUUUGGAGGGGGGACUGGAAUUCUUGGUGUAGCAGUGAAAUGCGUAGAUAUCAAGAGGAACACCAGUGGCGAAGGCGAGUCCCUGGACAACACCUGACACUGAGGCACGAAAGCGUGGGGAGCGAACGGG